This 469-nucleotide ribosomal RNA is filed under the name uncultured bacterium. RNAcentral's name for it is "partial 16S ribosomal RNA". It matches the Rfam family "Bacterial small subunit ribosomal RNA", at positions 28 to 508 of the family's 1533-position model. The record is from RNAcentral.
GACGAACGCUGGCGGCGUGCUUAACACAUGCAAGUCGAACGGAAAGGCCCUGCUUUUGUGGGGUGCUCGAGUGGCGAACGGGUGAGUAACACGUGAGUAACCUGCCCUUGACUUUGGGAUAACUUCAGGAAACUGGGGCUAAUACCGGAUAGGAGCUCCUGCUGCAUGGUGGGGGUUGGAAAGUUUCGGCGGUUGGGGAUGGACUCGCGGCUUAUCAGCUUGUUGGUGGGGUAGUGGCUUACCAAGGCUUUGACGGGUAGCCGGCCUGAGAGGGUGACCGGCCACAUUGGGACUGAGAUACGGCCCAGACUCCUACGGGAGGCAGCAGUGGUGAAUAUUGCACAAUGGGCGGAAGCCUGAUGCAGCAACGCCGCGUGCGGGAUGACGGCCUUCGGGUUGUAAACCGCUUUCGCCUGUGACGAAGCGUGAGUGACGGUAAUGGGUAAAGAAGCACCGGCUAACUACGUGC